AUUGAACGCUGGCGGCAGGCCUAACACAUGCAAGUCGAACGGUAACAGGAAGAAGCUUGCUUCUUUGCUGACGAGUGGCGGACGGGUGAGUAAUGUCUGGGAAACUGCCUGAUGGAGGGGGAUAACUACUGGAAACGGUAGCUAAUACCGCAUAACGUCGCAAGACCAAAAAGGGGGACCUUCGGGCCUCUUGCCAUCGGAUGUGCCCAGUUGGGAUUAGCUAGUAGGUGGGGUAACGGCUCACCUAGGCGACGAUCCCUAGCUGGUCUGAGAGGAUGACCAGCCACACUGGAACUGAGACACGGUCCAGACUCCUACGGGAGGCAGCAGUGGGAAUAUUGCACAAUGGGCGCAAGCCUGAUGCAGCCAUGCCGCGUGUAUGAAGAAGGCCUUCGGGUUGUAAAGUACUUUCAGCGGGGAGGAAGGGAGUAAAGUUAAUACCUUUGCUCAUUGACGUUACCCGCAGAAGAAGCACCGGCUAACUCCGUG
This 489-nucleotide ribosomal RNA is filed under the name uncultured bacterium. RNAcentral describes it as "partial 16S ribosomal RNA". It matches the Rfam family "Bacterial small subunit ribosomal RNA", at positions 30 to 507 of the family's 1533-position model. The record is from RNAcentral.